RNAcentral lists this ribosomal RNA (767 nucleotides) under uncultured beta proteobacterium. RNAcentral's name for it is "bacterial SSU rRNA". It matches the Rfam family "Bacterial small subunit ribosomal RNA", at positions 8 to 770 of the family's 1533-position model. The record is from RNAcentral. Lineage: Bacteria; Pseudomonadati; Pseudomonadota; Betaproteobacteria.
AGAGUUUGAUCAUGGCUCAGAUUGAACGCUGGCGGCAUGCCUUACACAUGCAAGUCGAACGGUAACGCGGGGGCAACCCUGGCGACGAGUGGCGAACGGGUGAGUAAUACAUCGGAACGUACCUGGUAGUGGGGGAUAGCCCGGCGAAAGCCGGAUUAAUACCGCAUACGCACCACGGUGGAAAGCGGGGGGCCGCAAGGCCUCGCGCUAUCAGAGCGGCCGAUGGCAGAUUAGCUAGUUGGUGGGGUAAAAGCCUACCAAGGCGACGAUCUGUAGCUGGUCUGAGGGGACGACCAGCCACACUGGGACUGAGACACGGCCCAGACUCCUACGGGAGGCAGCAGUGGGGAAUUUUGGACAAUGGGGGAAACCCUGAUCCAGCGAUGCCGCGUGUGUGAAGAAGGCCUUCGGGUUGUAAAGCACUUUUGUUCGGGAAGAAAUCUGUCGGGCUAAUACCAUGGCGGGAUGACGGUACCGGAAGAAUAAGCACCGGCUAACUACGUGCCAGCAGCCGCGGUAAUACGUAGGGUGCGAGCGUUAAUCGGAAUUACUGGGCGUAAAGCGUGCGCAGGCGGUUUCAUAAGACAGAUGUGAAAUCCCCGGGCUUAACCUGGGAAUUGCAUUUGUGACUGUGAGACUAGAGUGUGUCAGAGGGAGGUGGAAUUCCGCGUGUAGCAGUGAAAUGCGUAGAGAUGCGGAGGAACACCGAUGGCGAAGGCAGCCUCCUGGGAUAACACUGACGCUCAUGCACGAAAGCGUGGGGAGCA